Molecule: non-coding RNA, 93 nt
Organism: Caerostris darwini
Lineage: Eukaryota; Metazoa; Arthropoda; Arachnida; Araneae; Araneidae
Source: the annotation of a GenBank genome assembly
AACGGCCGUACCAUGGUGAAUAUACCGGUUCUCGUUAGAUCACCGAAGUUAAGUACUUGGGUGGGUGACCACCUGGGAACACUGCGUGCCGUU